UACGGAGGAUCCAAGCGUUAUUCGGAAUCAUUGGGCUUAAAGCGUACGUAGGCGGGUUAAUAAGUCAGUGGUGAAAGUCCGCAGCUCAACCGUAGAACUGCCAUUGAUACUGUUAAGCUUGAGUAAUUAUGAAGUGGUUAGAAUAUGUAGUGUAGCGGUGAAAUGCAUAGAUAUUACAUAGAAUACCGAUGGCGAAGGCAGAUCACUAAUAAUUCACUGACGCUGAGGGGCGAAAGCGUAGGUAGCGAACAGG
Molecule: unclassified non-coding RNA, 253 nt
Filed under: uncultured Flavobacteriaceae bacterium
Lineage: Bacteria; Pseudomonadati; Bacteroidota; Flavobacteriia; Flavobacteriales; Flavobacteriaceae
Description: contains 16S-23S intergenic spacer region
Rfam family: Bacterial small subunit ribosomal RNA
Source: RNAcentral